This is a non-coding RNA of Schistosoma haematobium, 79 nucleotides long. The record is from Rfam. NCBI's taxonomy places the organism in Eukaryota, Metazoa, Platyhelminthes, Trematoda, Strigeidida, Schistosomatidae.
AGCCUUCUGUAUCCGUGCUGAGAUUUCGUCACACACCGGAUCACAAGGGUUGAUGAGAUUUCCCAGAUAAGUGGAAGCU